AAUUUUCUCCAUAAUUUGCAUUUUCAGACUCUGGUGUGCAGCCACAGUUCGCUUCUCAAUUUCGGAUUUCGUGCAUUCCAUCCAGAUUGUAUAUCUCCACUUUACCAACUGAUGGCCAAUUUUGUGGAGGGCGGUUAUCUUUGAUUAUUUCGGGAGGCUCACUAGCUUGCAAUUCACAUGCAGAAGACUGAGUUUGAUCAUUCAAGUGAAAGAUGUUGAAGGGCAUAAAAAAAUUUACUCGUC
Long non-coding RNA from Chenopodium quinoa (quinoa), 243 nucleotides. RefSeq lists it as uncharacterized. The transcript is spliced from 3 exons. Lineage: Eukaryota; Viridiplantae; Streptophyta; Magnoliopsida; Caryophyllales; Amaranthaceae. The record is from RefSeq and is a predicted model, not a curated record.